RNAcentral lists this ribosomal RNA (224 nucleotides) under uncultured fungus. RNAcentral's name for it is "partial small subunit ribosomal RNA". The stretch from base 53 to 224 matches the Rfam family "Eukaryotic small subunit ribosomal RNA", at positions 691 to 864 of the family's 1831-position model. The record is from RNAcentral. Lineage: Eukaryota; Fungi.
GGUACAAUGCACCUGGCCCGCGGCCGUCUAGGUUUGUGAGUGCCGGCGCGCGUUUACCAUCCUUCUAGAAAACAAGCUUGCUCUUUACUGGGUGGGUUUGCGAUCUAGAUCUUUUACUUUGAAAAAAUUAGAGUGUUUAAAGCAGGCUUUUGCUCUGAAUACAUUAGCAUGGAAUAAUAAUCUAGGACUUCGGUUCUAUUUUGUUGGUUUCUAAAACUGAAGUA